Molecule: long non-coding RNA, 560 nt
Organism: Ipomoea triloba (trilobed morning glory)
Lineage: Eukaryota; Viridiplantae; Streptophyta; Magnoliopsida; Solanales; Convolvulaceae
Exons: 2
Source: RefSeq, a predicted model, not a curated record
AGCUGCUCACCAUCUCCCUUUUCCUUCCCAGAUCUCGGACCAACCGCAGCCGUCUCUCUUCCACCACUCGUCGCACCGCAGCCGUCUCUCUUCCACCACUCGUUGCACCGCCGCCAUCCGACACCGUAUGGUCAUGGCUUUUGUGCUACUCAUCUUGGGCGAAAUAGUUGACAAUGAAAUACACCUUCUCUGAACAUCAGUUCAGUUGGUAGGAUACCCACUGAUGAACCAAUCAACACAAGACCGGAUAUGUACCUUCAGUUGGGAAAAAUGUCAAUGAACUUCAGUACGAAGAUAAAGACUCAGGUGGUUUGCAAGUUGUUCCAUUUAGAGGUCAACUUGUCUACAUUCGACAAGGCCAUCAAGUAUUUGAUAAAAGCUUUAAGGUUCUCUAAGGAUCAAAACUCUGUUGUAACACAAUUUGCAAAUUUAAGUUUUACUAUCUUAGCUAGAAACUUUAGUUCUAUGUCAGAUUGUAUGGAAUGGCUUUACAUUCCAUUGAACCUUGUUGUAAUUGCUUCUAAUGUUUAUUAAUGUCGUUUAUCGUUCAAAAAAAAAAA